RNAcentral lists this ribosomal RNA (253 nucleotides) under uncultured bacterium. RNAcentral's name for it is "partial 16S ribosomal RNA". It matches the Rfam family "Bacterial small subunit ribosomal RNA", at positions 524 to 776 of the family's 1533-position model. The record is from RNAcentral.
GACGGAGGAUGCAAGCGUUAUCCGGAAUCACUGGGCGGAAAGCGUCUGUAGGUUGUCAAAUAAGUCAACUGUUAAAUCUUGAGGCUCAACCUCAAAAUCGCAGUCGAAACUAUUAGACUAGAGUAUAGUAGGGGUAAAGGGAAUUUCCAGUGGAGCGGUGAAAUGCGUAGAGAUUGGAAGGAACACCGAUGGCGAAGGCUCUUUACUUGGCUAUUACUUACACUCAGAGACCAAAGCUAGGGUAGCAAAUGUG